This 862-nucleotide long non-coding RNA is filed under the name Monodelphis domestica (gray short-tailed opossum). RNAcentral's name for it is "lncRNA (ENSMODG00000035765.2)". The record is from RNAcentral. Lineage: Eukaryota; Metazoa; Chordata; Mammalia; Didelphimorphia; Didelphidae.
CUCCUUUUGCCUUCCAUCUUUCCCAGCAUCAGGGUCUUCUCCAAUGAGUUGACUUCUCAUUAUGUGCCCAAAGCAUUUAAGUUUCAGCUUCACAAUUUGGCCUUCCAAUCUCAAUUUAUUUAUCUAUAAACAUAAGGAGUAUCAGGAAGUAUCAGGAUCUCCAAAAUUCUUUAGGAACAACUUUUAAGAACUGAUUUUUUAAAUGUUCAGGAUGAGCAACUUGCCUUUUAGCAUGAGGAAAUGAAAAAGAUGCAAUAAGCAAGAUGCAAGAUUAUGAUUUGGUACUGUUGUUCAGGUGGCACUGCUUUCCUUCUCCAACUAUGGCUCCAUGUCUCACCAGUGAAGGACCCCAGAGAUUUCAAAAAAUAUUUUUUAUUAAGAAGAUGAGAGGCAAAGAAAGAAGGAGGGGAGAAAAUCAUGAUCCCAGGAAACACUAUGAAUAUUAAAGGAAGAAAAAAGAAACAAGCAAUUGUUCAUCUCCUGUUGCCAAUGACAAAAACAUAUAUUUUUGGAUUCCCAUAUGAUCCAGUUUUUCCAGAUGACCAAUUAGAACUUGAUUCCCAACUAUUUGUAGUUUAAGAUGAUAAAUUUAAGAGCUAAAAGUGGCUUUGAAAUUAUCUGGACUAACCUCAUUUUAUAGAUGAGGCAAUUGGAUCCCAGCGGUAUUGGACAUGGGAAAUCCUGUUUUUACAAAUCUGAAUUGAAAUUAAGAGAACUGAAAUCAUUGUCUCUCCAAGUCUCAAGGUAUUCCCUACAGGCACCCAGCUUGCUUACAAUGUGUUUAAGUACAAAAUGUAUGGUGAUUCCCUGAUGCCUCCCUUUCCCUUUCAUUUUGUUCAGUAGUCAAGACAGUAUUUAGCUC